Molecule: long non-coding RNA, 987 nt
Organism: Cyprinus carpio carpio
Lineage: Eukaryota; Metazoa; Chordata; Actinopteri; Cypriniformes; Cyprinidae
Source: Ensembl
GCCGCUGUCGUCCAGGUGGACGUGCCCGAGGUUCCCGAGGCGGGGCUCGAGGUGGUUCUGGAGGCCGAGGCGGUGCCCGAGGCUGUGCCCGAUGCCGAGGCGGUGCCCGAGGCUGUGUCCGAUGCCGAGGCGGUGCCCGAUGCCGAGGCGGUGCCUGAUGCGGUGGCCGAGGUGGUUCCCGAUGCAAUGUCCGAUGCCGAGGCGGUGCCCGAUGCCGAGGCGGUGCCCGAUGCCGAGGCGGUGCCCGAUGCGGUGCCAGAGACGGUGCCAGAGACGGUUCCCGAUGUAAUGCCCGAGACUGAGGCUGUUCUGGAGGUCAGGGCGGUGCCCGAUGCCGUUCUGGAGGUCGAGGCGGUGCCCGAUGCCGUUCCGCAGGUCGAGGCGGUGCCCGAUGUUGUUCCAGAGACCGAGGCGGUGCCCGAGUUGGUUCCGGAGGCCGAGGCCGUGCCCGAGGCGGUGCCCGAUGCGCAGGCCGAGGUCGUUCCCGAGGCGGUGUCCUUGUCCGAUGCCGUUCCUGAGGCCAUUCCCGAGGCGGUGCCCGAUGCUGUUCCGGAGGCCGAUGCAGGGCCCGAGAUGGUUCCGGAGGCGAUACCCGUGUCCGAGGCCGUUCCCGAGGCGGUGCCCUUGUCUGAGGCCGUUCCCGAUGCCGUUCCCAAUGCCGUGACCUGGCCAUCGCCACAGCCUGCUCCUUACUGGCUCCCCGAUUGGCAGGUUCCAUUCGGGCCACUCAAAUGGCGAAUUCCUCCCUGGCCGUCUGCACAACGAGAAUGGACUGAUCCACCGUGGCCACCUGAACUGCCUGGCCCCUCGUGGUCCCCUGAACUUUCGGGUCCACCGUGGCCACCUGAACUGCCUGGUCCCUCGUGGUCCCCUGAACUUUCGGGUCCACCAUGGCCCCCUGAUCUGACCAAGCCACCUGGGCUACCAGGGGAGCCAUCGCUGCCGGUCCCAGUUCCCCUACACGGGCCUGGCCCGCCAUCCCUCCCC